UCCCCGGUUGGUCUGUCGGCAGGGCCCGCCGCACUUUGAAUGCGGAUAAAGCGACGUAGGUUCGACUCCUACCCGGGGAGCCA
Molecule: transfer RNA, 83 nt
Filed under: Nocardioidaceae bacterium
Lineage: Bacteria; Bacillati; Actinomycetota; Actinomycetes; Propionibacteriales; Nocardioidaceae
Also listed under: 4 other names
Description: tRNA-Gln
Rfam family: tRNA
About the family: Transfer RNA (tRNA) molecules are approximately 80 nucleotides in length. Their secondary structure includes four short double-helical elements and three loops (D, anti-codon, and T loops).
Source: RNAcentral